RNAcentral lists this ribosomal RNA (250 nucleotides) under uncultured bacterium. RNAcentral describes it as "partial 16S ribosomal RNA". It matches the Rfam family "Bacterial small subunit ribosomal RNA", at positions 524 to 776 of the family's 1533-position model. The record is from RNAcentral.
UACGAAGGGGCUAGCGUUGCUCGGAAUCACUGGGCGUAAAGGGUGCGUAGACGGGCAGGUAAGUCAGUGGUGAAAUCUCCAAGCUUAACUUGGAACUGCCGUGAUACUAUCUGUCUUGAAUACUGUGGAGGUGAGCGGAAUAUGUCAUGUAGCGGUGAAAUGCUUAGAUAUGACAUAGAACACCAAUUGCGAAGGCAGCUCACUACACAGCCAUUGACGCUGAGGCACGAAAGCGUGGGGAUCAAACAGG